CAGCCGCCGCGGUAAUACGUAGGGUGCGAGCGUUAAUCGGAAUUACUGGGCGUAAAGCGUGCGCAGGCGGUUCGUUAAGACAGAUGUGAAAUCCCCGGGCUUAACCUGGGAACUGCAUUUGUGACUGCAAGGCUAGAGUACGGCAGAGGGGGAUGGAAUUCCGCGUGUAGCAGUGAAAUGCGUAGAUAUGCGGAGGAACACCGAUGGCGAAGGCAAUCCCCUGGGCCUGUACUGACGCUCAUGCACGAAAGCGUGGGGAGCAAACAGGAUUAGAUACCCGAGUAGUCCCUGUCUCUUAUAC
RNAcentral lists this ribosomal RNA (301 nucleotides) under uncultured bacterium. RNAcentral's name for it is "partial 16S ribosomal RNA". It matches the Rfam family "Bacterial small subunit ribosomal RNA", at positions 509 to 807 of the family's 1533-position model. The record is from RNAcentral.